GCUGUACAGCAUGGGUUUUUUUUCAUAUUUUAUAGUUUUAAAUUUGAAAGCAUAUAAAGGUUUUAUUUAACUAAAAAAUAAAAUUGAACAGAAAAGAAACAAAGUAAUCCAUACAUAUCAGUCAGAAGUCUUGGGCGGCUUCCUACCACCUACCCACUAAGUGCAAACUCCUCAUCCUGGCUUUAGCAUAUUCUGCAUCUGCCCCGCCACUCAUUCCCAUCUUACUUCCCAACCCACCUCCUCUCCUCACCCACAAACUAGUAACAUGAUUUGAGUACCCAGUUUAUCUCUCCAGCCAGACCACAGACCUCUUGAAAAUGAAAUCCCCCUCUGGUCCAUUGUGGACACCUUCAAUGCUCAAUCUCUAGAGUCGCCAUAGUACAAAUUGGUGAUAUUUCUGGCAUCUGCAAGCUAUUGGCUGGAAAAUUUGUAUUUAUUUUGAAGAAUUCAAGGAAGGCAGAAUUCUUUGAAAAAUACAUCAAAUAGCUGGCCAAAGCGUAACUUUCUAGUUAUAAAACAAAGAACAAUGGAAGCAACCCAAGUGUCCUAUGGAUGAAUGAAAAAAUAACACGUGCUAUAUGCAUACAAUGGAUUAUUAUUCAGCCUUCAAACGGAAGGAAACAUAAAAGGACCCUCGAGGACAUCCUGCCAAGCCAUGGCGAGUCCACACACGUGAGGUCCUAGAGUAGCCAAGGCCAUAGGGAUGGAAAGCAGGAUGGCAGAUUCCAGGUGCUGGGAGCAGAGGGAGUGAAGAAUUACUGUUUCAUGCGUACAGAACUUCAAUUCUGCAAACAGCUCUGCAGGUGGAUGGUGGUGAUGGCUGCGUUAACACUGUGUAGGUACCUAAGGCUACUGAACUGUAAACUUAUAGAUGGUUUCAGCGGUAAGUUUGAUGUCAUGUAUAUUUAACCACCCUGUUUAAAUUCUUUUAAAAAACCAAAGAAAAUGAGCCAUGAGAAUACCUUUUAACGGUGACCUUUUAAUACAUUAUUUCAAUAUAAACACAAUGGAACCAAGGAUCUCCUCUCCAGGGCCAUUAGAGAUCACCUAUGGAAGACAGAGCUGACUUUUGGCUUAAAACACGGCGCCACAUUCUCCCCCAAGAGUAUUUCCAACAGAACCAUUCUGCCCUUGAUCUGCUUUGCCCUCUCGGUUUUGUGUAACUAAGAAUUACACAAGGCUGAUUAAUUUAAAAGGUCUUCCUAAGAUCCGGAUGCUUGUUCCUCAUCAAAGCUUUGUAUUGGCAUCGAUCCAUAAUCUGUGUUGAUGCUUCUGAGUAGAAUGCUCUCUCCUUCCCCUCUGUUCCCACAAGAAAAAUCACCACACUAUAGUUACGGCUGAGGUUGAGAAAGCACUUGGGAAGAAUGUACCUUCUCAGGGUAAAACUCGGCAUCUUGCACCAACCACACGAAUGCAAGACGUAAACAAGAGAGGAAAGCUGUUUUCCGGGGGGGCAGGGGGAGAGGUACGUGCAAAUGCUCUGUACUUUCCAGUCAAUUUUUUGUGCAACUAAAACCGCUCUAAAAAACAGUCUUUGAAUUGAAAAAAAUAAAGCUCUGCAUCUUCAAUUCUGAGUUGUCGAUACAGCAAAUGACCUCAUUGACCCAUGAACAUAAAAAUGACGCUUUCUUACUAAGGAAAUAUAUACUCAUUUAAACAUGCAAUAUAUCUGGCCAGAAAUGAAGGGAUAUUUUGCUAGCCAGUCAUCUUUCUAAAUAUAUCUGAACUUUAGGGGAGGAAAAAUCAUUAGAACGCAAUCCCCAAGUUACAGCCCCCUAGUUUCUGCUCCUGACUGUAUUAGAAACCCCACGUUUCUAACACAUGGCUUUGCUUCUCUCUGGCCACUUAGAAAGUAUGGCCAGACAUAUUGAAGCCCUUGACCUUAGAGGCAAUUAAAUACUGGAAGAAGGAGGAAGAUAGUGAAAUGCCCUUCUAAGAAUUAUUUAAAAUGCAGAUAACAAGCUUACACUUACAGCUACGAUGGAAUAGCUGACAUCAAACUAAUCCUCCCGCUAAGAACAUUCUAUAAAAGCUGGGAAAGACCACACACAUGUGAACGAGGGAACACAUGCACGCGUGCACGCACACACACACACACACACACACACACCUGCUGCUUGAAGAUAAUGAAGAACAGCCAAAACAGCCAAUACUUGAGGGACAAAGAUCCCAAAGAGCAUAAAUGCUCACUGAAGGGAGCCCUCUGGCUGAGCUACAUUCUCCUUUAAGGACAGUGAAUAGCACACAAUGCAGAGCAGAGAGGUAAGGCAGAAAUCAGCAGCCUAGAGACCGCAGCAGUCUCAGUGGGCUAGAAAGACAACUGGAAUUCAUGGACCACUGAGGAGGAAGGGGUCAUUAAACACCAGGCUUUCAAUCAAGACUUUAGAAGAGCCAUGACCUAAGAUUAAGAACAAACUAAAAUAGUCCAGCCUCAACUGGCCCAAGGUGACCUUCCCAUGCUCUACCCAGGAAAAUUAAACCCUCUCGGAAGGAAGAUAAUAUCCAGAGUUUCUACAGAUUUUCAUACACAAUGUCCAGCAUUCAAGGAAAAAUACCAAACCCUCCAGAAAACAGAAACAAAUAAUUAAAACUAAAAUGAAAAACAGACAGGAGAAACAGAUCCCCUAGUGACCCAUACAUGCAUAUUGGAGCUAUCAGACAUGCAUGGACUUUUUCACUAACUGGCGAGAUACUUAAACCAACACUUCACAAGAAAAAGAGAAUAUACCUAAAUGGCCUCGAAGUAUAUGAAAAGAAACUCAAUAUCAUCAGUCAUCAUAAAAAGCAAAUUAAAGCCACAAUGAGAUAACACUACAAAUCUUCCAGAAUGGUUCAAAUAAAAUAUGUUAAAUGCUGGUUAGGACUAGAUCAAUUUGUGCAAAAAACUGCUGGUGUCAAAGUAAAUGGAUGGAAACACUUUGGAAAGUUGGUAUAUGCAGAAAUUACAAAAGCUAAACAUACAUAUGCCCUGUGAUCCAAUAAUCCUGCUUCUGGGUAUAUACAUUUUAAAAAAAUGAGUAUUUAUAUCAAUGGAAAGACAAUAGCCAUGGGUAUUCACAACAUCUUUAUUUAUAAUAUCUCAAAUUGCCCACAGCCCAAACGUCCAUCAACAGCAGAAUGUAUAUUCUGUGGUACCGUAUGGCUCCAACGCGAUAACAUAAGACAAUGAGAAAGAAAACCUCAUCCACAGAAUCCAGGCUCAAUGAAGCUCGUACACACGACACCGCGGUAAAAAGCCAGACAAAACGAGAACAUGCUGGAUGAUAUCCGCUGAUGAAAAAUAUUAAACCAGGUAGAACAGCCUACGGUGACAUGACCUGGAAUGUGGUUACAGUCAAUGGAGGCAGAUGAGCACUGACAGAGGGUACAGGAAAGACUGCGGAUGUGCUUGAAACAUUCUAUUCUUACUCUGGGCGGAAACCAGACAAACGUGAUCAUUUUAUGAGCUUGUACAUUACAAACCGUACCCUUAAGAUUCGCGCACAUAUAAUAUGCUUAAAUAAAAAGUAACCAAAAUAUGUACAAUAGUUAGAAAGAAAUGAUUUGGACACCUUAACAUUCUGGAACAAUGGGGGCAGAGGGCACCUGGACUGGCAGGCUUACUCCUCCUCCUGCACUGCACCAACUCACAGCUCCCUGCACUAACACACAUACCCUCUACACCCCUGUGCACACGUCGGUAUAUGCACAUACGCUUAAGUAAGCACAACGAGCUCAUUGAAGACAACCGGGAAAAGAUAUUACAAAUUAAGAAGGGGAGAGACUCUCAGAUUUUUAAUAAUGGGACCAUUUUAUUUUUCAUUUUUCAAUGAUCGCUAUCUUUUUAGUAUACAAGUCUGAUCAUUCUCCUCUCUUCUUAGAAGGUGUCAAGUUAUUCCACCACCUAUGGGACAGCGGUGACAGGCUGAGGAUACUGGGUGUUCUGUGUGGCCCUGUCUCUGCUCACUCUGUGCCCGAUGCCUACAAUGCUCUUCCCUGACCUCUCCAGCCUCAAAACCCCCCGCUCACCUUUCAAGGCCAGGUUCAAAUUUCACUUCUGCUUAGACCCUACUUGGAUGACACCUGUCACAACAUGCUGUGCUUAUGUGGGAGGCAGUAGAGCUGUUACUGCUGACUCUGGAAUCAGGCUGCCUGGGUUCAAGUCAGAUCUGUGACUUGCUAGCUGUGUGACUGUGCCAAUUAUUUAAUGUGUCUUUGCCUGAGCCUCAUGGAUAAAAGGAUAAAAUACCAGAAUUCUGCUCAGGAUAAUUCUGGGAGGACUCGAUGAGUUGACCUGGUUAAAGCGUCACCCAGCCCAAUACCAGGCACAUAGCUAGGACUCGGAUUGUCGGAUGUCUGUCUUCUUACAGUCGUCAGACGUCUGUCUCUUCACCCUGGACCAUGCACAUCCCACAGGAAGGACUUCUUUUUUAUCUUUUUACCCCUACUUCGUGCUCAGUUUAAAGUGACUUAUAAAUGUGUGAGAAAUGAAUGAAGGAUCUGCCAAAUCUUCCUGACAUUCUCUCUUGCUACACAUAGUGGGGAAAAAAAAAAGAGGAGGAAGAUGGGGAGGAAGAAAAGGGAGAAAGAAAAUGGAAGAAGCGAAGUGGAAGAGGAGGAAAGAGAAGGGGUGGAGGGAAGAAAUGCAAAGGAAAAGGAGGAGGAAGAAGCAGCAGAGGAGAGCAAUGACCUGCCGCUGCCAACGAGGGCACUUGAGUCUCGUGUCCACAGAAAACAGGCAUCAGCCACAGGACCCCACCGGCAGCAGCCCCUCUUGGUGCUAACUCUUUGGAACGCAGGAAUACGUUGGUCCUUAAUUUUGGUACAAAGCUCAACACUGCAUUCUGGCCCCUGGGCCAGGUUGAGUUGCACAACCAGGGCUCUACUCAGAGAGGGGACGCUCAGAUGGAAGACCCCCCUAGGAGACAAGGCUGCAAGGGCUGCACAGAGCCUGGACAGAGAGCUCCAGGUCACGCAGGGAGGAAUAAGGCGCCAGGCAUCCUAGGCUAGGCAUCCUCUCAUCCUCAAAUUCCCCAGGACAGCUGCAGGGCUGGAUGUGUGGAAUAUUUAAAGGUUGCCUUGCAGCCCAAGUAUCUUGCCAAAACCUGCUUUUACUGACUCCAGAUAUACUGGCUUCUGCUUCUCUUCCAGAGUCAGUGAUAAAUCCCCAAGAAUGCAUUAGUGAUUGCGAGCACCCAUAAAAAAAGAAAAGCCUUUGUUUUUCUGAUGAGGGAGGCUACAUAAAUUUUUAACUGAUUAUUAAGAAAAAAAGGCCAGCCUUUGCAGAAAAAAAGACAUUUCUCUCUGCCUCCGACUGAAUACCAAGGAGGCCUCCGGGGCCCUCACACUGGCUGGAGCCUGGUGUUUUUACCCCCGGCGCGGUGGGGCUGGCUCUACCCUGCCAGCUGGUCUCAAGGGCAAGCCCUAGAAUCACUGAAGAGGGGUCACAGUCCUCAGGAGUCAAAACCCACAAAGAGAACGCACGACAUCCUGGUGGCUGGCAGCGCCAUGGGCUUGCAGAGUUGUGCAGAAGCAUUAACCCGGGACCUUGGAAGGCGGUCAGGCCUGAGUGUGUGUUCCAGCUCUACCACUGGGUAGCCAGGCGGCCCGGGGCAAGUUA
RNAcentral lists this long non-coding RNA (5599 nucleotides) under Sus scrofa (pig). Its description in RNAcentral is "lncRNA (ENSSSCG00000050171.1)". Lineage: Eukaryota; Metazoa; Chordata; Mammalia; Artiodactyla; Suidae. The record is from RNAcentral.